Molecule: ribosomal RNA, 275 nt
Filed under: uncultured bacterium
Lineage: Bacteria
Description: partial 16S ribosomal RNA
Rfam family: Bacterial small subunit ribosomal RNA
Source: RNAcentral
CCUACGGGUGGCUGCAGUCGAGAAUCUUCCGCAAUGGGGGCAACCCUGACGGAGCGACGCCGCGUGUAGGAUGAAGGUCUUCGGAUUGUAAACUACUGUCAGCAGGGAAGAAAGGACGCUCGGUUAAUACCUUGGCGUUUUGACGGUACCUGCAGAGGAAGCCACGGCUAACUUCGUGCCAGCAGCCGCGGUAAUACGAAGGUGGCUAGCGUUAUUCGGAUUUAUUGGGCGUAAAGGGUCCGCAGGCGGUUCGGAAAGUCAGAUGUGAAAUCCCA